RNAcentral lists this ribosomal RNA (468 nucleotides) under Pholidoscelis auberi (Auber's ameiva). RNAcentral describes it as "partial 16S ribosomal RNA". It matches the Rfam family "Bacterial large subunit ribosomal RNA", at positions 1926 to 2593 of the family's 2925-position model. The record is from RNAcentral. Lineage: Eukaryota; Metazoa; Chordata; Lepidosauria; Squamata; Teiidae.
AACGGCCGCGGGAUCCUACCCCGUGCAAAGGUAGCAUAAUCACUUGUCACCUAAAUAGUGACUAGUAUGAAUGGCCAAAUGAGGACUUUCCUGUCUCUUGUAACCAAUCUAUGAAACUGAUCUUCCAGUUCAAAAGCUGGAAUAAACACACAAGACGAAAAGACCCUGUGGAACUUUCAAGUGCCAAUCAACAACAUGAUAUAAUCACUUUUAGUUGGGGCAACUUUGGAACGAAACAAAACUUCCAAUUAUGGGAGAUAACCUAAAUGAUCUAGGUCAACACACCAACCUUCAUCUACCCACUAUCGACCCAGUACUACUGAUAAAAGAACCAAGCUACCCCAGGGAUAACAGCGCCAUCCCCUCCUAGAGUCCCAAUCGACGAGCGGGGCUUACGACCUCGAUGUUGGAUCAGGGCACCCAAACAGUGCAGCAGCUGUUAAAGGUUUGUUUGUUCAACAAUUAAUG